Molecule: transfer RNA, 72 nt
Filed under: Camelus bactrianus (Bactrian camel)
Lineage: Eukaryota; Metazoa; Chordata; Mammalia; Artiodactyla; Camelidae
Also listed under: 1 other name
Rfam family: tRNA
About the family: Transfer RNA (tRNA) molecules are approximately 80 nucleotides in length. Their secondary structure includes four short double-helical elements and three loops (D, anti-codon, and T loops).
Source: Rfam by way of RNAcentral
GAGGGUACAGCUUAGUGGUAGAGUGCUUGCUUAGCAUGCGCAAGUUCCUGGGUUCAGUUCCCAGUAACCCCA